This 538-nucleotide ribosomal RNA is filed under the name [Candida] sp. CopsFra642. RNAcentral's name for it is "eukaryotic LSU rRNA". It matches the Rfam family "Eukaryotic large subunit ribosomal RNA", at positions 41 to 646 of the family's 3401-position model. Lineage: Eukaryota; Fungi; Ascomycota; Saccharomycetes; Saccharomycetales. The record is from RNAcentral.
UAUCAAUAAGCGGAGCAAAAGGGUCCCUGCAUAGCCCUAAGCGGAGCAAUAGAGAGGAUCCCUGCCUUGCAAUUAUAGGCGCGUAGCAUCUGUGGUCCCUUGCGAAACAGGACGUCACAAGANAGGUGAGAAUCCCGUGCGAUGAGGUGUCCAUUUCUAUGUAAGAUGUUUUCGAAGAGUCGAGUUGUUUGGGAAUGCAGCUCUAAGUGGGUGGUAAAUUCCAUCUAAAGCUAAAUAUUGGCGAGAGACCGAUAGCGAACAAGUACAGUGAUGGAAAGAUGAAAAGAACUUUGAAAAGAGAGUGAAAAAGUACGUGAAAUUGUUGAAAGGGAAGGGUAUUAGAUCAGACUUGGUAUUUAGUUAUCAUUACUCCUUGUGGGUGGUGCUCUAACUUUUUACUGGGCCAGCAUCAGUUUUGGUGGCAGGAUAAUGACAUUUGAAUGUGGCUCCUCGGAGUGUUAUAGCUUUUGUUGAUACUGCCUAUCGGGACUGAGGUCUGCGGCUUUUGCCUAGGAUGCUGGCGUAAUGAUCCAAUACC